Cordylochernes scorpioides is the source of this 107-nucleotide non-coding RNA. Lineage: Eukaryota; Metazoa; Arthropoda; Arachnida; Pseudoscorpiones; Chernetidae. The record is from the annotation of a GenBank genome assembly.
GUUGUUCUAUCCCCGUUGACUGUUUUUCGAUCACCGAAGUUAAGCAAUGUCGGGCCCGGUCAGUACUUGAGAGGGUGUCCACCUGGAAACACCACGUGCUGUAGACU